This 520-nucleotide ribosomal RNA is filed under the name uncultured Archaeospora. RNAcentral's name for it is "SSU rRNA". It matches the Rfam family "Eukaryotic small subunit ribosomal RNA", at positions 569 to 1092 of the family's 1831-position model. The record is from RNAcentral. Lineage: Eukaryota; Fungi; Glomeromycota; Glomeromycetes; Archaeosporales; Archaeosporaceae.
AGCAGCCGCGGUAAUUCCAGCUCCAAUAGCGUAUAUUAAAGUUGUUGCAGUUAAAAAGCUCGUAGUUGAAUUUUGGAUUCUGCCAAUUGGUCCAUCUUUUAGAUGAGUACUGGUUGUGUGGGGUCUAUCCGCCUGGUGAUACGUAAUGUCCUUUAUUGGAUGUUGCGGGUAGUCAGGACCUUUACCUUGAAAAAAUUAGAGUGUUUAAAGCAGGCUUAUGCCGGAAUACAUUAGCAUGGAAUAAUAGAAUAGGACGAAGUUGUUUUAUUUUGUUGGUUUCUAGGACAACCGUAAUGAUUAAUAGGGAUAGUUGGGGGCAUUAGUAUUCAAUUGUCAGAGGUGAAAUUCUUGGAUUUAUUGAAGACUAACUACUGCGAAAGCAUUUGCCAAGGAUGUUUUCAUUAAUCAAGAACGAAAGUUAGGGGAUCGAAGACGAUCAGAUACCGUCGUAGUCUUAACCAUAAACUAUGCCGACUAGGGAUCGGGCAUGUUGUUUCCAUGACUCGCUCGGCACCUUAUA